ACUCCUACGGGAGGCAGCAGUGGGGAAUAUUGCACAAUGGGCGCAAGCCUGAUGCAGCCAUGCCGCGUGUGUGAAGAAGGCCUUCGGGUUGUAAAGCACUUUCAGUCGUGAGGAAGGUAGUGUAGUUAAUAGCUGCAUUAUUUGACGUUAGCGACAGAAGAAGCACCGGCUAACUCCGUGCCAGCAGCCGCGGUAAUACGGAGGGUGCGAGCGUUAAUCGGAAUUACUGGGCGUAAAGCGCAUGCAGGUGGUUUGUUAAGUCAGAUGUGAAAGCCCGGGGCUCAACCUCGGAAUUGCAUUUGAAACUGGCAGACUAGAGUACUGUAGAGGGGGGUAGAAUUUCAGGUGUAGCGGUGAAAUGCGUAGAGAUCUGAAGGAAUACCGGUGGCGAAGGCGGCCCCCUGGACAGAUACUGACACUCAGAUGCGAAAGCGUGGGGAGCAAACAGGAUUAGAUACCC
This 460-nucleotide ribosomal RNA is filed under the name uncultured bacterium. RNAcentral describes it as "bacterial SSU rRNA". It matches the Rfam family "Bacterial small subunit ribosomal RNA", at positions 335 to 787 of the family's 1533-position model. The record is from RNAcentral.